This 460-nucleotide ribosomal RNA is filed under the name uncultured Acholeplasma sp. RNAcentral describes it as "bacterial SSU rRNA". It matches the Rfam family "Bacterial small subunit ribosomal RNA", at positions 920 to 1378 of the family's 1533-position model. Lineage: Bacteria; Bacillati; Mycoplasmatota; Mollicutes; Acholeplasmatales; Acholeplasmataceae. The record is from RNAcentral.
CGGACCCGCACAAGCGGUGGAUCAUGUUGUUUAAUUCGAUGAUACGCGAAGAACCUUACCAGGUCUUGACAUCCCCCGCGAUGCUUUAGAGAUAAAGCGGAGGUAUUCGGGGAGACAGGUGGUGCAUGGUUGUCGUCAGCUCGUGUCGUGAGAUGUUGGGUUAAGUCCCGCAACGAGCGCAACCCCUAUUGCUAGUUACCAUCAUUAAGUUGGGGACUCUAGCGAGACUGCCAGUGAUAAACUGGAGGAAGGUGGGGAUGACGUCAAAUCAUCAUGCCCCUUAUGACCUGGGCUACAAACGUGAUACAAUGGCUGGAACAAAGGGAUGCGAAGCAGUGAUGUGGAGCGAAACCCAUAAAACAGUCUCAGUUCGGAUUGAAGUCUGCAACUCGACUUCAUGAAGUCGGAAUCGCUAGUAAUCGCGGAUCAGAACGCCGCGGUGAAUACGUUCUCGGGGUUU